Molecule: ribosomal RNA, 382 nt
Filed under: uncultured eukaryote
Lineage: Eukaryota
Description: SSU rRNA
Rfam family: Eukaryotic small subunit ribosomal RNA
Source: RNAcentral
AGCUCCAAUAGCGUAUAUUAAAGUUGUUGCGGUUAAAAAGCUCGUAGUUGGAUUUCUGUCGGGAGCACUUGGUCCACCCUAGUGGUCGGUACUCGAGCAACUCCGGACAUAUUUCUGAAAGUCGUGCUAGCACUUAGUUGUGCGGCAAAGAAUUUCAGGACAUUUACUUUGAGGAAAUAAGAGUGUUCCAAGCAGGUUAUUGCCGUGAAUACGUUAGCAUGGAAUAAUAGCAUCGGAUUUCAUUCCAAAGCUGUUGGUUUCUUGGGGUGAGAUGAAGGUAAAUAGGGACAGUUGGGGGCAUUCGUAUUUAACUGUCAGAGGUGAAAUUCUUGGAUUUGUUGAAGACGGACUACUGCGAAAGCAUCUGCCAAAGAUGUUCUCA